GCCCGUGCGCGCGACUAGGGGGAGGGAGGAGGCGACAAUCACGUGGGACAGGGGCGUCCGGAGGUGCCGGCUAGGUUGGGCUCCUCUCGGCCGCUGCCCAGCCGCUCGGGCCUCCCCAGCCUCGCUCCCCUCCAGCCCCUGAGAGGCGCUGCCCUGCCCCCGGCGAGGCCAGCCCACGCUCUCGCUCACCCCGCCCGCUCCGCUGAGGACCCGGAGAUCCGAGCUUAACGCCCAGUAAAAAUUUAAGUCCCAUGAAGUCAGGGAUAUUUCCUCUUCUGAUCACUGCUGCAUCCUUGGUGACUAAGACAUGAUCUGACAUAUUGUAAGCAUUCAAGUAAUGGUCUGCUGAUUUAUUGAAUGAAUAAGUCCAAGAACACAAUGGUGUUUGAACCACAGGAUGGCUGGAAGAACCCAGCCAACAACCUUGAACUGAACUGAAUUAGUACCAUGUUCCACAGUGAUUGGUAAUGAUCUGCUCUUCAAACUUGCUUCCUAUGCAUCAUAAAGGGAAAGAACAAUUCCUUUUCCCACCACACACCCACAUCACAGAGGAAUGCUUCGAGAAUUAAUUAAAUGGUAACAUGGAGAAAGCAUUUUGAUUUUCUGGGAGAAAGCACUUUAUUAAUUUGAGGCUUUUGAUUGUGUGAAAGAAUCGUAAGUGACAAAGAUGAGAACAAUGUUAAAAGGGAGUAACCAAACUACCUUGGCUUUUCCCAGGAUAAUUGAUUUAAAGGUGAUAUAAGCAGGAUGAAGAAUGAAAUGUGGUUUUAGAAUUCUUAUCCCAAAUGAUAGAUUUUUUUUAAGCAACACUUUCUUUUUCGAAGUUAACUUUCAAUAAUUCACAGUAUGAUAUGUUCAUUAAUGAAUUAUUCUUCACAUUUACAAUACUUUUGUCCAUUCUGUGUCCAUUUUCCUGCUAUUUAGAACUUCCAUACCAGUGUAAGAGAGCUGGAAAAGAAAAAUAAAAUAAAAACUAAGAUUUGUCCAUCUGCA
Non-coding RNA from Ictidomys tridecemlineatus (thirteen-lined ground squirrel), 993 nucleotides. Lineage: Eukaryota; Metazoa; Chordata; Mammalia; Rodentia; Sciuridae. The record is from RefSeq and is a predicted model, not a curated record.